GACGAGCGCUGGCGGCGUGCUUAACACAUGCAAGUCGAACGCUGAAGCACCAGCUUGCUGGUGUGGAUGAGUGGCGAACGGGUGAGUAAUACGUGAGUAACCUGCCCUUGACUCUGGGAUAAGCCCGGGAAACUGGGUCUAAUACUGGAUGCUACAUGUCACCGCAUGGUGGUGUGUGGAAAGGGUUUACUGGUCUUGGAUGGGCUCACGGCCUAUCAGCUUGUUGGUGAGGUAAUGGCUCACCAAGGCGACGACGGGUAGCCGGCCUGAGAGGGUGACCGGCCACACUGGGACUGAGACACGGCCCAGACUCCUACGGGAGGCAGCAGUGGGGAAUAUUGCACAAUGGGCGAAAGCCUGAUGCAGCGACGCCGCGUGAGGGAUGACGGCCUUCGGGUUGUAAACCUCUUUCAGCAGGGAAGAAGCCACAAGUGACGGUACCUGCAGAAGAAGCGCCGGCUAACUACGUG
Molecule: ribosomal RNA, 470 nt
Filed under: uncultured bacterium
Lineage: Bacteria
Description: partial 16S ribosomal RNA
Rfam family: Bacterial small subunit ribosomal RNA
Source: RNAcentral